Molecule: ribosomal RNA, 503 nt
Filed under: uncultured bacterium
Lineage: Bacteria
Description: partial 16S ribosomal RNA
Rfam family: Bacterial small subunit ribosomal RNA
Source: RNAcentral
AUUGAACGCUGGCGGCAGGCUUAACACAUGCAAGUCGAGCGGGGUGAUGGUGCUUGCACUAUCACUUAGCGGCGGACGGGUGAGUAAUGCUUAGGAAUCUGCCUAUUAGUGGGGGACAACAUCUCGAAAGGGAUGCUAAUACCGCAUACGUCCUACGGGAGAAAGCAGGGGAUCACUUGUGACCUUGCGCUAAUAGAUGAGCCUAAGUCGGAUUAGCUAGUUGGUAGGGUAAAGGCCUAUCAAGGCGACGAUCUGUAGCGGGUCUGAGAGGAUGGUCACGCACACGGGGACUGGAACACGGCCCAGACUCCUACGGGAGGCAGCAGUGGGGAAUAUUGGACAAUGGGGGGAACCCUGAUCCAGCCAUGCCGCGUGUGUGAAGAAGGCCUUAUGGUUGUAAAGCACUUUAAGCGAGGAGGAGGCUCUUUUGGUUAAUACCCAAGAUGAGUGGACGUUACUCGCAGAAUAAGCACCGGCUAACUCUGUGCCAGCCGCCGCCGUAA